Molecule: ribosomal RNA, 562 nt
Filed under: Cytospora leucostoma
Lineage: Eukaryota; Fungi; Ascomycota; Sordariomycetes; Diaporthales; Cytosporaceae
Description: partial 28S ribosomal RNA
Rfam family: Eukaryotic large subunit ribosomal RNA
Source: RNAcentral
AUUGCCUAGUACGGCGAGUGAAGCGGCAACAGCUCAAAUUUGAAAGCUGGCUCCGGCCCGCAUUGUAAUUUGCAGAGGAUGCUUUUGGCGAGGUGCCUUCCGAGUUCCCUGGAACGGGACGCCAUAGAGGGUGAGAGCCCCGUAUGGAUGGACACCAAACCUGUGUAAAGCUCCUUCAACGAGUCGAGUAGUUUGGGAAUGCUGCUCUAAAUGGGAGGUAAAUCUCUUCUAAAGCUAAAUACCGGCCAGAGACCGAUAGCGCACAAGUAGAGUGAUCGAAAGAUGAAAAGCACCUUGAAAAGGGGGUUAAACAGUACGUGAAAUUGUUGAAAGGGAAGCAUUUAUGACCAGACUUGCGCCGGGCAGCUCAUCAGGGGUUCUCCCCUGUGCACUCUGCCCGGCUCAGGCCAGCAUCGGUUCUCGUGGGAGGAUAAGAACAGUGGGAACGUGGCCCCCUCUCGGGGGGGUGUUAUAGCCCAUUGUACGAUACUCUCGUGGGGACCGAGGUUCGCGCUCCGCAAGGAUGCUGGCGUAAUGGUCAUCAAUGACCCGUCUUGACCAC